GUGAAUCAUCGAAUUUUUGAACGCAAAUUGCACUCUCUUCGGAGAGUAUGCCUGUUUGAGGGUCAGCCUAAAAAAAAAAUCGACAUAGUCGCUGUUUCGCGGUGACAUUCGUCGGAAUUUGGGUCAUCUUAAACCUUUGGUUUUUAAGCGGUUUAAAUUUUUCUUUACGAUUCCACGAACGUUUCUAAGAUUUACUUUUUUUACUUUUAAGUUAUCGAUCUUUAUUAGCCGUGGCCGUGCC
RNAcentral lists this unclassified non-coding RNA (241 nucleotides) under Glomus sp. RNAcentral describes it as "partial contains 5.8S ribosomal RNA and internal transcribed spacer 2". The stretch from base 1 to 65 matches the Rfam family "5.8S ribosomal RNA", at positions 84 to 154 of the family's 154-position model. Lineage: Eukaryota; Fungi; Glomeromycota; Glomeromycetes; Glomerales; Glomeraceae. The record is from RNAcentral.